UCACAGCUUGCGCCGGCAGUCUCGACAGAGUCCUCGACUCUACUCGUUAGCAACUGUCGAUAGGGGUUGCGCUCGUUAUGGCACUUAAGCCGACACCUCACGGCACGAGCUGACGACAACCAUGCAGCACCUCGCAACCGGCUCCGUAGAGCUGUACCCUUUCGGAUACAUUCCGGUUGCGUUUGAGCCCGGGUAAGGUUCCUCGCGUAUCAUCGAAUUAAACCACAUGUUCCUCCGCUUGUGCGGGCCCCCGUCAAUUCCUUUGAGUUUCACCGUUGCCGGCGUACUCCCCAGGUGGAAUACUUAACGCUUUCGCUGUGCCACUCAAGGCCCAUUUGCCCCGAACAGCUAGUAUUCAUCGUUUACUGCGUGGACUAC
RNAcentral lists this unclassified non-coding RNA (378 nucleotides) under uncultured Muribaculaceae bacterium. RNAcentral describes it as "contains 16S-23S intergenic spacer region". The record is from RNAcentral. Lineage: Bacteria; Pseudomonadati; Bacteroidota; Bacteroidia; Bacteroidales; Muribaculaceae.